AGAGUGGGGUGGAAAAGGGAGAGUGCUUAACAUUGUAAAAGCUGUGGGCAGGGAGGCCCUCGAUGAAAAAGUGGCUUUUGAGUCAAGAUCUGAAAAGGAUGAAGAACCCAGGUCGGGAGAUGGAACGUUAUCGGCAAUCCAGAGUGCUCCUGUUUCCCUUUCCAGCUACUCUGCAUGCUGCUGCAAAAGUACCUGCAGUCCUGACACCAUAGAUGAUCUGGCCUGCCUUUGAACUUCUUGCAAGUAAACUUACUAUCAUUGGAGCCUGUGGCCGGUUGGGAAAGCACAAAGUAGAGUGAGUUCUUGCUGAGAUGCUUUUGUAAUUCCAGUAAAGUGUGAGUACCACUAUGGGACCAUUAGAACACCUACUGCAAUUAAGGGUCAGCUAUGCAAGUAAUGAGACUGACAGGAGGAAAGG
Non-coding RNA from Callorhinus ursinus (northern fur seal), 418 nucleotides. Lineage: Eukaryota; Metazoa; Chordata; Mammalia; Carnivora; Otariidae. The record is from RefSeq and is a predicted model, not a curated record.